UUCUAUAGCUUGCUUCUUAAGUGAGAUUGAACACGAACUAUUGAUCAAGGGUGACUUAUGGGGGUGAGAGAUCUGAGCCAUCAAUUCCAUAGAUAAGCCAUCAACGUUAUGGAAGAUGCAUGAAUCUUUAUCCCCUUUUCCUAAACCAUUUUCCCAUUAAUUGAAAUUAUCUAAUCAAAAUAUUGUGCAUUCUAUAAAAUAACACAAGCCUUCUCAUACUUUCACAAAAUCUUUCAAAAUUAUAUCAAGUCAAAUAUUUAGUCAAUAUAUUCCAACCACAAGCCAAUCUUUGACUACAAAUCAAAUUUGACCAUUUCCAAAAUUGUAAAAGAAGCAUCUAAAGAGUGGGGUGUGCCACCCAUGAGAGGGCCUCAUGGACCCCACCUUCUAGAUCAUAGUGGGUUCAUGUACACAAUGGGCCCUUAUUAAAUUUUUAUAUAUUUAAAAUUAAUAAAAAUAAUUUUUUGAAAUAUUAUUUGAAUAUUUAAAUCAUUAUAAAAUUAAUAUAUUUAAUUUUAUAAAUUUAAAUAUUAUAAAUAAAAUAUCUAGGGGUUUAUAAAAAUUCAAAUAAUAAUUUUAAAAUAAUUUCUAUCAUAAAAUAAAUAUAAUUAAAUUAAUUUGAUGAGAAAAUGAUUUAUAUCGUUUGAGGAUUAAAUCAAUAAUCAAUGGGCACUUCAUCUUUAACUGUGGACUACUGAUCACACUUGUUUUAUUAGGCCGACCUAGUAUUUUCUAUGACCCACAGUCUAAGCAGGAGCUCAUUAGUGGGUCAACCAAGUCUGGCCGAUGAGCCAAGGGGUCGCAAUCACAGUAUGUGGAUUUCAAGCUCUCUCCAAGAGACGAGUCAAUGUUACCUAGAUUUGAUGCGACCACAGAUCUUAUGGUGCAUAGGGGUAUCUCUCGCACAUGUAUUUGCUUCAUCCUGAAGGUGGCUUGCUUUCUCGAAACGGUUUAUCAAUUUGCAUGUCGUGUGAUGGUAUAUGGAUGAGGAUUUAGCUCUCGUCUCUAUAGACUACCAUCACACAUAGUCCUUCAACUCACUCAUCUGAGCAUACUCCGAUAUCAUCAAGGCAUGACCGAAUAGAACCCUUAUCGGUUUAUCCUCUAUGCCUAAAUAACAUGGGUUUUUUCCACCCGACUGGCCUAAACGGUCAAGUACAGUCUGGUAUCUACAAACAGUGUUUUCAUAGUAUGGUCUACGUGGGACCACACUCCCAUUGAGUUCACGUUCCACUAUAUCAAAUGUUUUAUUAUAAUCACUUAUAAAGCUUUUAGUGGCCACAUAAACCCAACAAGUAUAAAUUGAAUUUUGAUGGCAUCUCUUUGAGGAAUCUGGGACCAGCUGGAGUGGGGGGGGUUUUGGGGAAUUCAAGUGGAGAGAUCAUCCUUUGUUAUGCCGGCCCUUGUGGUGAAAAAGCAACAAAUGAAGCGGAAAUGUUGUCAGUUUGACAAGGGAUAAAAAUAGUGAAAGAUAGAGGUCUUCAGCAACCAUGUGUCAUUGAAGGAGAUUCUUUGAAUGUUAUUAAUUAGUGCAACAACAUUUCAAGACCUUUAUAGAGAUUGCGAUCACUUUGGCUGGGUGUGAUUGAGAUUGGGAAUGGCCUAUUCGUAUCAUUUAGACAUGUCUAUAGAGAGGCCAAUGCGGUUGCAGGUUAUUGUAAGAAGAAAGAUACAACGUUUCAAUCUCUCCUUAUUUAUGAUAUUCUUUUUGGUUGAAAGUAUUGUAACUCGUCCUGA
This 1737-nucleotide long non-coding RNA is filed under the name Amborella trichopoda. Its description in RNAcentral is "long non-coding RNA (ATRI_LNC004725)". Lineage: Eukaryota; Viridiplantae; Streptophyta; Magnoliopsida; Amborellales; Amborellaceae. The record is from RNAcentral.